This 795-nucleotide long non-coding RNA is filed under the name Capsicum annuum. RNAcentral describes it as "long non-coding RNA (CANN_LNC011916)". The record is from RNAcentral. Lineage: Eukaryota; Viridiplantae; Streptophyta; Magnoliopsida; Solanales; Solanaceae.
AAGGAAACAAAAUAAAAGGAAAAAUAAAGUCUCUAGAGGAGUCAAAGUUUCUUUAUAGGAUGCAAUCUCCUUAUAAGAAAAUAAAUCACAUAAAUCCCUUAAAGAAAAUCAAAUUCCAUUCGGAAAAAGAGUCUUAAUCCGUGACAUUCUAGGGCAUAACGAAUCACUAAUAUAUAUAUGGCAUGGAGACCAUUUGGAGCAAAACUACUAGACUUUGUCAAAGCAACAAAGGAACCUGAUUCACAGAUUGUGUUCGAGUUUGCACUAUUGAAUGUUGAAGUUUCGAUAGUCAAAGGUUAGAGUUAUUAGUCUUUGUUGAGUUCAUCUGUUGAUGUAAAUUUAUGAGUUUCAAGUAUAUAAUAGGAUAGAUUCUAAGUUGUAAUCUUUUCUAUUAUUGAAUGUUGUUUUGUUGUGAGUGUGAGAAACAAGAAAUGGAUUUGACUUUUUAUUUGUGGAAUGUUGUAAUAAGAAGUAGGUUUGACUUCUUAUUUGUGAAGUGUUGUAACAGAAAAUGGGUUUGACUUCUUGGAGUGCUCAUAUAGUAGGGUGAACAGUUUUAGUAAACUGAUAAGUUGUGGAUUAAGAGUUAGGUUCUAGAAUUGCAAGGUUGUAAUUUUGAACAAAGCUAUUUUUGAAGUUGGUGAAAAUUGAUAGUGAAAUCCUACAUGAUGCAGAUCGUAAUUGAACAAAGCUAUUUGUUGUUUACUGUGAUUCGCUGAACCAAGUUCCUAAUAUAUGUGAUAGGAAUAGUUAAUUGUUACAUAUUGUUUUGUAUUCUACAAGACAUAAUUCAAG